GGGGUUUGUAUGUGAUAGUUGCCGCAGUACAUUUAGUUCUACCUAAGUCCUUGUAAUAUUAUCCUAGCUACAAGCUUAAGCCUGGCUACAAACUAGUAUUUUGUUUUAUUCUUAAAUUCAGCGUGUGUAGCAGUGCAAAAUAUAUAUCAACAAUAUUCCUACUUUCGAGGUUAAUACAAUGUUCUGCGACACCAUGGAUUCAGUUUUCU
This 209-nucleotide long non-coding RNA is filed under the name Mytilus galloprovincialis (Mediterranean mussel). Lineage: Eukaryota; Metazoa; Mollusca; Bivalvia; Mytilida; Mytilidae. The record is from RNAcentral.